Small nucleolar RNA from Lathyrus oleraceus (garden pea), 106 nucleotides. Lineage: Eukaryota; Viridiplantae; Streptophyta; Magnoliopsida; Fabales; Fabaceae. The record is from RefSeq and is a predicted model, not a curated record.
AGUUCACGAUAGGGACAUAAUCUAAGCAUUUCCUUAAAUAAUUCACAUGCUUCGUAGAGCAAUUCCUCGUAUUUUUGAGUAAAAUUAGUUAUUUGGUUUCUAAGUU